GGGAACGUACCUUUUGGUUCGGAACAACACAGGGAAACUUGUGCUAAUACCGGAUAAGCCCUUACGGGGAAAGAUUUAUCGCCGAAAGAUCGGCCCGCGUCUGAUUAGCUAGUUGGUAGGGUAACGGCCUACCAAGGCGACGAUCAGUAGCUGGUCUGAGAGGAUGAUCAGCCACAUUGGGACUGAGACACGGCCCAAACUCCUACGGGAGGCAGCAGUGGGGAAUAUUGGACAAUGGGGGCAACCCUGAUCCAGCCAUGCCGCGUGAGUGAUGAAGGCCCUAGGGUUGUAAAGCUCUUUUGUGCGGGAAGAUAAUGACAGUACCGCAAGAAUAAGCCCCGGCUAACUUCGUGCCAGCAGCCGCGGUAAUACGAAGGGGGCUAGCGUUGCUCGGAAUCACUGGGCGUAAAGGGUGCGUAGGCGGGUCUUUAAGUCAGGGGUGAAAUCCUGGAGCUCAACUCCAGAACUGCCUUUGAUACUGAAGAUCUUGAGUUCGGGAGAGGUGAGUGGAACUGCGAGU
Molecule: ribosomal RNA, 520 nt
Filed under: uncultured bacterium
Lineage: Bacteria
Description: bacterial SSU rRNA
Rfam family: Bacterial small subunit ribosomal RNA
Source: RNAcentral